GGCGUGCUUAACACAUGCAAGUCGAACGGGACUGUGGGGGCAACUCUGCAGUCUAAUGGCGGACGGGUGAGUAACACGUGGGUAACCUGCCCGGAAGUGGGGAAUACCUCGGGGAAACUCGAGCUAAUACCGCAUGACAUCUUCGGGACGAAAGUCCUGACGAUCAAAGCGGGGUCGCAAGAUCUCGCGCUACCGGAUGGGCCCGCGCCCGAUUAGCUAGUUGGUGGGGUAACGGCUCACCAAGGCGACGAUCGGUAACCGGCCUGAGAGGGCGAUCGGUCACACCGGAACUGAGACACGGUCCGGACUCCUACGGGAGGCAGCAGUGGGGAAUCUUGCGCAAUGGGCGAAAGCCUGACGCAGCAACGCCGCGUGGAGGAUGAAGGCCCUUGGGUUGUAAACUCCUGUCGGCUGGGAAGAAAUCGUUCGGGGCUAAUACCUCCGGACGUUGACUGUACCAGCAAAGGAAGCCCCGGCUAACUCUGUGCCAGCAGCCGCGGUAAUACAGAGGGGGCCAGCGUUAUUCGGAAUUAUUGGGCGUAAAGGGCGCGUAGGCGGCCAUGCGUGUCUCCCGUGAAAUCCCUCGGCUUAACUGAGGACGUGCGGGAGAAACUGCAAGGCUCGAGUCCGGGAGAGGGGGGUGGAAUUCCCAGUGUAGCGGUGAAAUGCGUAGAUAUUGGGAGGAACACCGGUGGCGAAGGCGGCCCCCUGGACCGGUACUGACGCUGAGGCGCGAAAGUGUGGGUAGCAAACGGGAUUAGAUACCCCGGUAGUCCACGCCGUAAACGAUGGGCACUUGGUGUCGCGGGUAUCGACCCCUGCGGUGCCGAAGCUAACGCAUUAAGUGCCCCGCCUGGGGAG
RNAcentral lists this ribosomal RNA (861 nucleotides) under uncultured bacterium. RNAcentral's name for it is "bacterial SSU rRNA". It matches the Rfam family "Bacterial small subunit ribosomal RNA", at positions 41 to 880 of the family's 1533-position model. The record is from RNAcentral.